GCGUGAGUGGCUCAGUGGUAGAGCAUCUCCUUGCCAAGGAGAGGGUCGCGGGUUCGACUCCCGUCUCACGCU
Molecule: transfer RNA, 72 nt
Rfam family: tRNA
About the family: Transfer RNA (tRNA) molecules are approximately 80 nucleotides in length. Their secondary structure includes four short double-helical elements and three loops (D, anti-codon, and T loops). Further hydrogen bonds mediate the characteristic L-shaped molecular structure. tRNAs have two regions of fundamental functional importance: the anti-codon, which is responsible for specific mRNA codon recognition, and the 3' end, to which the tRNAs corresponding amino acid is attached (by aminoacyl-tRNA synthetases). tRNAs cope with the degeneracy of the genetic code in two manners: having more than one tRNA (with a specific anti-codon) for a particular amino acid; and 'wobble' base-pairing, i.e. permitting non-standard base-pairing at the 3rd anti-codon position.
Source: Rfam